Molecule: ribosomal RNA, 509 nt
Filed under: Ascalaphidae sp. EH-2004
Lineage: Eukaryota; Metazoa; Arthropoda; Insecta; Neuroptera; Myrmeleontidae
Description: partial 16S ribosomal RNA
Rfam family: Bacterial large subunit ribosomal RNA
Source: RNAcentral
UUUUUGUGAAAAAUUUAAAGUUUGGCCUGCCCACUGAUUAUUUAAAGGGCCGCAGUAUCUUGACUGUGCAAAGGUAGCAUAAUCAUUUGUCUUUUAAUUGAAGGCUGGAAUGAAUGGUUGGACGAGGUAUAAGCUGUCUCAUUUUAAAAAAAUUAAAAAUUUAGCUUUUGAGUCAAAAGGCUUAAAUUUAUUUAAAGGACGAGAAGACCCUAUAGAUUUUUAUAUAUUUAUUUAUUAGGUUUUUUAGAUUAAUAAAAGGGUUUUUAUAAUAAAUUUAUUUUGUUGGGGUGAUGUUAAGAUUAAAUAAACUCUUAUAAGUUUAUAACAUUAAUAUAUGAUUAUUUUGAUCUUUUAUUAUUGAUUAAUAGAAUAAAUUACCUUAGGGAUAACAGCGUAAUCUUAUUGGAGAGUUCAAAUUUAUAAUAAGGGUUGCGACCUCGAUGUUGAAUUAAAGGUGUUCCUGGGUGCAGAAGUUCAGGAAAAUAGGUCUGUUCGACCAUUAAAUCUUU